GUGGGGAAUCUUCCACAAUGGACGAAAGUCUGAUGGAGCAACGCCGCGUGAGUGAAGAAGGGUUUCGGCUCGUAAAGCUCUGUUGUCGGGGACGAAUGUGCAGUAUUUGAAUAAAGUACUGCAAUGACGGUACCUGACGAGGAAGCCACGGCUAACUACGUGCCAGCAGCCGCGGUAAUACGUAGGUGGCAAGCGUUGUCCGGAAUUAUUGGGCGUAAAGGGAGCGCAGGCGGGAAGGUAAGUCGGUCUUAAAAGUGCGGGGCUCAACCCCGUGAUGGGAUCGAAACUAUCUUUCUUGAGUGCAGGAGAGGAAAGUGGAAUUCCUAGUGUAGCGGUGAAAUGCGUAGAUAUUAGGAGGAACACCAGUGGCGAAGGCGACUUUCUGGACGAUGUCUGACGCUGAGGCGCGAAAGCUAGGGGAGCGAACGGGAUUAGAUACCCGGGUAGUCC
Molecule: ribosomal RNA, 450 nt
Filed under: uncultured bacterium
Lineage: Bacteria
Description: partial 16S ribosomal RNA
Rfam family: Bacterial small subunit ribosomal RNA
Source: RNAcentral